UUGAAUUCAAAUAAUAGAUGUCAUAUUUGGCUUAUUUCAAGAUAUGAAGAAGGAAGAAUUAUAACUCGUGGACUACCAGGAGAAGCAAGGAAGAGAUUGAUGAAGAAUGGAGUAUAUCGUGAUCUUGAAUUUCAGUGCUUGUAUUUGAGUCUGGGUCUGCUAGAACUUCUGCUCUAUGAUGUACUAUUGAAGUCAAGAUUCACAUGUGGAAACUGAUGAUAACAUGGCAUUUUUAAGGAGAAUGUAUAAAUUAGGUUCAUAAAAGAAAAUUUAUGUUAUAACAGAAAACUUAAAAGAUAAUGUU
Long non-coding RNA from Perognathus longimembris pacificus (Pacific pocket mouse), 304 nucleotides. RefSeq lists it as uncharacterized. The record is from RefSeq and is a predicted model, not a curated record. Lineage: Eukaryota; Metazoa; Chordata; Mammalia; Rodentia; Heteromyidae. The transcript has 3 exons.